UUAAACUGAAGAGUUUGAUCAUGGCUCAGAUUGAACGCUGGCGGCAGGCUUAACACAUGCAAGUCGAGCGGAAACGAUGGUAGCUUGCUACCAGGCGUCGAGCGGCGGACGGGUGAGUAAUGCUUAGGAAUCUGCCCAGUAGUGGGG
Molecule: ribosomal RNA, 147 nt
Filed under: Marinobacter sp. ANT_B65
Lineage: Bacteria; Pseudomonadati; Pseudomonadota; Gammaproteobacteria; Pseudomonadales; Marinobacteraceae
Description: partial 16S ribosomal RNA
Rfam family: Bacterial small subunit ribosomal RNA
Source: RNAcentral